This 1347-nucleotide ribosomal RNA is filed under the name uncultured bacterium. RNAcentral describes it as "bacterial SSU rRNA". It matches the Rfam family "Bacterial small subunit ribosomal RNA", at positions 43 to 1378 of the family's 1533-position model. The record is from RNAcentral.
CAGGCUUAACACAUGCAAGUCGAGGGGCAGCGGGGGAGUAGCAAUACUCCCGCCGGCGACCGGCGCACGGGUGAGUAACACGUAUGAAACCUGCCCGUAGCAGGGGGAUAAGCGGAAGAAAUUCCGUCUAAUACCGCGUAACAACCCUUGGAGGCAUCUCCUCGGGUUUAAAGGAAGCGAUUCCGGCUACGGAUGGUCAUGCGUCGCAUUAGCUUGUUGGCGGGGUAACGGCCCACCAAGGCGACGAUGCGUAGGGGUUCUGAGAGGAAGGUCCCCCACACUGGUACUGAGACACGGACCAGACUCCUACGGGAGGCAGCAGUGAGGAAUAUUGGUCAAUGGCCGCAGGGCUGAACCAGCCAAGUCGCGUGAGGGAUGACGGUCCUGUGGAUUGUAAACCUCUUUUGUCAGGGAGCAAAGGGCGUCACGUGUGGCGCUUUGCGAGUACCUGAAGAAAAAGCAUCGGCUAACUCCGUGCCAGCAGCCGCGGUAAUACGGAGGAUGCGAGCGUUAUCCGGAUUUAUUGGGUUUAAAGGGUGCGCAGGCGGAAUGUCAAGUCAGCGGUAAAAUUUCGGGGCUCAACCCCGUCGUGCCGUUGAAACUGGCGUUCUUGAGUGAGCGAGAAGUAUGCGGAAUGCGUGGUGUAGCGGUGAAAUGCAUAGAUAUCACGCAGAACUCCGAUUGCGAAGGCAGUAUACCGGCGCUCAACUGACGCUCAUGCACGAAAGCGUGGGUAUCGAACAGGAUUAGAUACCCUGGUAGUCCACGCAGUAAACGAUGAAUACUAACUGUCCGGGCCGAUUGAGGUCUGGGUGGUACAGCGAAAGCGUUAAGUAUUCCACCUGGGGAGUACGCCGGCAACGGUGAAACUCAAAGGAAUUGACGGGGGCCCGCACAAGCGGAGGAACAUGUGGUUUAAUUCGAUGAUACGCGAGGAACCUUACCCGGGCUCAAACGACGGAUGGAUGUUUUUGAAAGAAGGCAGCCCUUCGGGGCAUCCGUCGAGGUGCUGCAUGGUUGUCGUCAGCUCGUGCCGUGAGGUGUCGGCUUAAGUGCCAUAACGAGCGCAACCCCCAUCACCAGUUACCAGCAAGUAAAGUUGGGGACUCUGGCGAGACUGCCGGCGCAAGCUGUGAGGAAGGCGGGGAUGACGUCAAAUCAGCACGGCCCUUACGUCCGGGGCGACACACGUGUUACAAUGGCAGGUACAGAGAGAAGCGAUGCGGCGACGCAGAGCGGAACUUCAAAGCCUGUCUCAGUUCGGAUUGGAGUCUGCAACCCGACUCCAUGAAGCUGGAUUCGCUAGUAAUCGCACGUCAGCCACGGCGCGGUGAAUACGUUCCCGGG